UUCCGGUUGAUCCUGUCAGAGGUUACUGCUAUCGAGAUUCGACUARGCCAUGCGAGUUAAAUGUUCUUCGUGAACAUGGCAGACUGCUCAGUAACACGUGGACAACCUGCCCUUUGGUCCGGCAUAAUCCUGGGAAACUGGGGGUAAUUCCGGAUAGGCCACAGAUGCUGGAAUGCACUGUGGCCCAAAGCUCCGGCGCCAAAGGAUGGGUCUGCGGCCUAUCAGGGUUGUAGUGGGUGUAACGUACCUACUAGCCUACGACGGGUACGGGUUGUGAGAGCAAGAGCCCGGAGAUGGAUCCUGAGACACGGAUCCAGGCCCUACGGGGUGCAGCAGGCGCGAAAACUUUACAAUGCGGGAAACCGUGAUAAGGGAAUCUCGAGUGCCAGCAUAUAAUGUUGGCUGUCCAGAUGCCUAAAAAGCAUCUGUUAGCAAGGGCCGGGCAAGACCGGUGCCAGCCGCCGCGGUAACACCGGCGGCCCGAGUGGUAACCACUUUUAUUGGGUCUAAAGGGUCUGUAGCCGGCCAUGUAAGUCCCUUGGGAAAUCUGGCAGCUCAACUGUCAGGCUGCUAGGGGAUACUGCAUGGCUUGGGACCGGGAGAGGUGAGAGGUACCUUGGGGGUAGGGGUGAAAUCUUGUGGUCCUCGGGGGACCACCAGUGGCGAAGGCGUCUCACCAGAACGGGUCCGACGGUAAGGGACGAAAGCUAGGGGCACGAACCGGAUUAGAUACCCGGGUAGUCCUAGCCGUAAACGAUGCUCGCUAGGUGUCAGUCACGGUGCGACCGUGAUUGGUGCCGUAGGGAAGCCGUGAAGCGAGCCACCUGGGAAGUACGGCCGCAAGGCUGAAACUUAAAGGAAUUGGCGGGGGAGCAC
RNAcentral lists this ribosomal RNA (876 nucleotides) under uncultured archaeon. RNAcentral describes it as "bacterial SSU rRNA". It matches the Rfam family "Archaeal small subunit ribosomal RNA", at positions 1 to 879 of the family's 1478-position model. The record is from RNAcentral.